UCGAGAAUCUUCGGCAAUGGGGGAAACCCUGACCGAGCGACGCCGCGUGCGGGAUGAAGGCCCUCGGGUUGUAAACCGCUGUCAGUGGGGAGGAAAUGCAGGAGGGUUCUCCCUCUUGCUUGACCUAUCCGCAGAGGAAGUACGGGCUAAGUUCGUGCCAGCAGCCGCGGUAAGACGAACCGUACGAACGUUAUUCGGAAUCACUGGGCUUAAAGGGUGCGUAGGCGGUCCGGUAAGUUGGGUGUGAAAGCCCUCGGCUCAACCGAGGAAUUGCGCCCGAUACUGUCGGACUUGAGGGAGACAGAGGUGAGCGGAACUUAGGGUGGAGCGGUGAAAUGCGUUGAUAUCCUAAGGAACACCUGUGGCGAAAGCGGCUCACUGGGUCUUUUCUGACGCUGAUGCACGAAAGCUAGGGGAGCGAACGG
RNAcentral lists this ribosomal RNA (425 nucleotides) under uncultured bacterium. Its description in RNAcentral is "bacterial SSU rRNA". It matches the Rfam family "Bacterial small subunit ribosomal RNA", at positions 355 to 775 of the family's 1533-position model. The record is from RNAcentral.